Molecule: ribosomal RNA, 253 nt
Filed under: uncultured bacterium
Lineage: Bacteria
Description: partial 16S ribosomal RNA
Rfam family: Bacterial small subunit ribosomal RNA
Source: RNAcentral
UACAGAGGGUGCGAGCGUUAAUCGGAAUUACUGGGCGUAAAGCGCACGUAGGCGGCUUUCUAAGUCAGGGGUGAAAUCCUGGAGCUCAACUCCAGAACUGCCUUUGAUACUGGAGAGCUUGAGUUCGGGAGAGGUGAGUGGAACUGCGAGUGUAGAGGUGAAAUUCGUAGAUAUUCGCAAGAACACCAGUGGCGAAGGCGGCUCACUGGCCCGAUACUGACGCUGAGGUGCGAAAGCGUGGGGAGCAAACAGG